GGACGAGCGCUGGCGGCGUGCUUAACACAUGCAAGUCGAACGGAAAGGCCCCUUUGGGGGUGCUCGAGUGGCGAACGGGUGAGUAACACGUGAGUAACCUGCCCCCUUCUUUGGGAUAACUGUCGGAAACGAUGGCUAAUACCGGAUAUUUACCUUGUGCCGCAUGGUGUGGGGUGGAAAGUUUUUUCGGUGGGGGAUGGGCUCGCGGCCUAUCAGCUUGUUGGUGGGGUGAUGGCCUACCAAGGCUGACGGGUGCCGGCCUGAGAGGGCGACCGGCCACACUGGGACUGAGACACGGCCCAGACUCCUACGGGAGGCAGCAGUGGGAAUAUUGCACAAUGGGCGAAAGCCUGAUGCAGCGACGCCGCGUGAGGGAUG
This 378-nucleotide ribosomal RNA is filed under the name uncultured bacterium. RNAcentral's name for it is "bacterial SSU rRNA". It matches the Rfam family "Bacterial small subunit ribosomal RNA", at positions 27 to 410 of the family's 1533-position model. The record is from RNAcentral.